RNAcentral lists this ribosomal RNA (328 nucleotides) under uncultured eukaryote. RNAcentral's name for it is "partial 18S ribosomal RNA". It matches the Rfam family "Eukaryotic small subunit ribosomal RNA", at positions 1470 to 1796 of the family's 1831-position model. The record is from RNAcentral.
CCCUUAGAUGUUCUGGGCCGCACGCGCGCUACACUGAUGCAUUCAACGAGUCUAAAACCUGGUCUGAUAGGGCUGGGUAAUCUUUGAAACUGCAUCGUGAUGGGGCUAGAUUAUUGCAAUUAUUAAUCUUCAACGAGGAAUGCCUAGUAAGCGUGAUUCAUCAAAUCGCGUUGAUUACGUCCCUGCCCUUUGUACACACCGCCCGUCGCUCCUACCGAUUGAGUGUGUUAGUGAGGAGUUUGGAUUGGCCUCGGAAGGUGGUUCGCCACCGUCCGUAGCUGAGAAGUUCUCCAAACCGCCCCACUUAGAGGAAGGAGAAGUCGUAACA